RNAcentral lists this ribosomal RNA (433 nucleotides) under uncultured bacterium. Its description in RNAcentral is "partial 16S ribosomal RNA". It matches the Rfam family "Bacterial small subunit ribosomal RNA", at positions 29 to 507 of the family's 1533-position model. The record is from RNAcentral.
AACGAACGCUGGCGGCAUGCCUAACACAUGCAAGUCGAACGAGACCUUCGGGUCUAGUGGCGCACGGGUGCGUAACGCGUGGGAACCUGCCCUUAGGUUCGGAAUAACUCCCCGAAAGGGGUGCUAAUACCGGAUAAUGUCUCCGGACCAAAGAUUUAUCGCCUUUGGAUGGGCCCGCGUUGGAUUAGCUAGUUGGUAGGGUAAAAGCCUACCAAGGCGACGAUCCAUAGCUGGUCUGAGAGGAUGAUCAGCCACACUGGGACUGAGACACGGCCCAGACUCCUACGGGAGGCAGCAGUGGGGAAUAUUGGACAAUGGGCGAAAGCCUGAUCCAGCAAUGCCGCGUGAGUGAUGAAGGCCUUAGGGUUGUAAAGCUCUUUUACCCGGGAUGAUAAUGACAGUACCGGGAGAAUAAGCUCCGGCUAACUCCGUG